RNAcentral lists this long non-coding RNA (202 nucleotides) under Sorghum bicolor (sorghum). Its description in RNAcentral is "long non-coding RNA (SBIC_LNC010933)". Lineage: Eukaryota; Viridiplantae; Streptophyta; Magnoliopsida; Poales; Poaceae. The record is from RNAcentral.
AUGGUAAAAAUGGGUAAAAAGUAUGUGCAUGUCUAAAAUCCUAAUAUAAUGAACCAGAGGAGGUAACUAUCAUUAUCAAAAGGAUUAUUACAUCUAAAGAUGCUAAGUAGCUUGCAAUGUUGAGCCGACCUUGAAGGAAAAAAGAUCGGAGCUGUAGGAAAAAAGAUGCAGACGAUCAAUUUGGAAAGAAAAGGAACAGCCC